Molecule: non-coding RNA, 249 nt
Organism: Tinamus guttatus (white-throated tinamou)
Lineage: Eukaryota; Metazoa; Chordata; Aves; Tinamiformes; Tinamidae
Source: RefSeq, a predicted model, not a curated record
UUGUUUUCAGUUGUGUGUUGUGAAUUAUGAAAGGAAUUGUGUAACUUACAGUGAACCAAAUAACUUUACUUACCUGUGUGACCCUUCAAACUUCUGUACUGUAUGGCCUUAGGGAUUUGCUUGUUCUCUAUGGUCACAGUAGUCUGUGCCACGGCAGCUUAUUAGAUGCUGAUUGUUCUGCAUCCUGACACUGUAAAUAGCCAUUUCCUCCCCUGCUCCUCGUUUCCUCCCAUUUUGGUGUCAGUUGCU